GAUGAAGAACGCAGCGAAAUGCGAUAAGUAAUGUGAAUUGCAGAAUUCAGUGAAUCAUCGAAUCUUUGAACGCACAUUGCGCCCGCCAGUAUUCUGGCGGGCAUUCCUGUUCGAGCGUCAUUACAACCCUCAGGCCCCCGGGCCUGGCGUUGGGGAUCGGCGGAAGCCCCCUGCGGGCACAACGCCGUCCCCCAAAUACAGUGGCGGUCCCGCCGCAGCUUCCAUUGCGUAGUAGCUAACACCUCGCAACUGGAGAGCGGCGCGGCCACGCCGUAAAACACCCAACUUCUGAAUGUUGACCUCGAAUCAGGUAGGAAUACCCGCUGAACUUAAGCAUAUCAAUAAGCGGAGGA
This 353-nucleotide unclassified non-coding RNA is filed under the name soil metagenome. RNAcentral's name for it is "partial contains 5.8S ribosomal RNA, internal transcribed spacer 2, and large subunit ribosomal RNA". The stretch from base 1 to 120 matches the Rfam family "5.8S ribosomal RNA", at positions 35 to 154 of the family's 154-position model. The record is from RNAcentral.